RNAcentral lists this non-coding RNA (169 nucleotides) under bovine gut metagenome. RNAcentral's name for it is "Lysine riboswitch". It matches the Rfam family "Lysine riboswitch aptamer". Rfam says of the family: Riboswitches are metabolite binding domains within certain messenger RNAs that serve as precision sensors for their corresponding targets. Allosteric rearrangement of mRNA structure is mediated by ligand binding, and this results in modulation of gene expression. This family includes riboswitches that sense lysine in a number of genes involved in lysine metabolism, including lysC. The record is from RNAcentral.
AUUAGUAGAGGUCGCGUGUUAAAUUAGUAUAUCAAAUGAUAUCUCAGGAGAUAAGAGAUUUUGAUAGAAAGGUUAAUUCGCCGAAAGCGGAUCUUUCCUGAUGGGAUUCGUCUUGGGCAUAUGAUUAAUAGUUAUAUGACUGUCAUCUAUUAUAGAUGGUGAGCUACGA